CCGCAUCGUCAUGCAGCGCUCAUCCAUGGGCGCUACCCACUUCAUGUUGACGAGCUGUGGGGAGUAGGUCACUCCACCACUGGAGAAUUGGGCUUCUCCCAAUCUAACUCCAUGGUCCACGCACAUCAUCGGAGAAUUGGGCUUCUCCCAAUCUAACCCCGAGAUGGCCACACACUCACAAAUACUAGUCCAGAUGCAACACAACUCAAACCGGCACGAGGGAGCUCCACAACUAACCUCCAUGCAACUCACAUCUAGGCUAAAUACACGACACACACUAUCAAUGCAUGCAACUAACAACACAACCGACAAGAGAGAGUCUCACCCAAAUCCCUUGCGGUGCAACACGCUUUAACAUCUAGAUAAUCAUGCAACAAACGCAACAUGUAUGCAAUCGGCACACACUCUCCCCAGGGCCCUGCACAAAACGGAUUAACUCUUGCCCCGGGGUCUCCACUUGAAAGCCGAUGAUCAAACCUCGUACAUGCAUACAUAAAAUACACACACAAGUCCUUGGAAACCCACCUUGGUUAUGCUCUACAAUGACUAUCCCACACCUCUAUCUAACUCCCCAAAAACGCUUAACAAACAAACCGAAAAACACUCCUAAAUCUCGGUUUCUCUCUCUAUAGGGUGAUCACUC
This 643-nucleotide long non-coding RNA is filed under the name Brassica napus (rape). RNAcentral's name for it is "long non-coding RNA (BNAP_LNC024137)". The record is from RNAcentral. Lineage: Eukaryota; Viridiplantae; Streptophyta; Magnoliopsida; Brassicales; Brassicaceae.